RNAcentral lists this ribosomal RNA (430 nucleotides) under uncultured bacterium. Its description in RNAcentral is "bacterial SSU rRNA". It matches the Rfam family "Bacterial small subunit ribosomal RNA", at positions 28 to 478 of the family's 1533-position model. The record is from RNAcentral.
GACGAACGCUGGCGGCGUGCUUAACACAUGCAAGUCGAACGGAAAGGCCCCCUUGUGGGGUACUCGAGUGGCGAACGGGUGAGUAACACGUGAGUAACCUACCCUUGACUUUGGGAUAACUUCAGGAAACUGGGGCUAAUACCGGAUAGGAGCUCCUGCUGCAUGGUGGGGGUUGGAAAGUUUCGGCGGUUGGGAUGGACUCGCGGCUUAUCAGCUUGUUGGUGGGGUAGUGGCUCACCAAGGCUUUGACGGGUAGCCGGCCUGAGAGGGUGACCGGCCACAUUGGGACUGAGAUACGGCCCAGACUCCUACGGAGGCAGCAGUGGGAAUAUUGCACAAUAGGCGGAAGCCUGAUGCAGCAACGCCGCGUGCGGGAUGACGGCCUCGGUUGUAACCGCUUACGCCUGUGACGAAGCGUGAGUGACGGUAA